RNAcentral lists this long non-coding RNA (4610 nucleotides) under Brassica rapa (field mustard). RNAcentral describes it as "long non-coding RNA (BRAP_LNC000859)". The record is from RNAcentral. Lineage: Eukaryota; Viridiplantae; Streptophyta; Magnoliopsida; Brassicales; Brassicaceae.
AAUCAGAAAAGUUAGAGAGAAGAAGAAGUGAAAAAGAGAGAGAGUGAGAGAAAAAAAAGAUAGGAACCACUGCAUGCUGCCACCAGGAGUCCUCGCCGGAGCCACCGCACGCCAGGACAUCGUCAAGCUCGUCAUCACCAUCAACCUCAGCUGAGAAUCGUCGGAAACCGCCGCCUCUUAAGCUUUGUUUUCGUCCGUUCAGUAUAUCGGCCAUAUCUUCUUAACCGUUGAGAAUCUCGCGCAUGCAGAGCCACCAUCGUGUUCCUCUCGUCGAGACGAAGCCGUAGCCACCGACCACGCCGCAAUCGGAGUCCGGACGAAGCCGCUAGAGCCUCCGGAAGUUUCGCCUCUGUGCGCGCGUGAGUUAUACGCGCCGCCGCCGGAAAUCGUCUCUGCCGCCAGACCACCGCCUCACCACCACCGGAACGCCGUCGCUGUCGCCGUGCUCCGCCUUCUGUCACCGCCGUCGUCCGCCGUCACCACCGGUAAGCCAUCGCCGUCGCCGUCGGUGACCGUCGCCGGUGACUCGCCGACGACUCGCCAACUCGGCUGAGUCGACCCGGUGAGUCAACUCGGUUGACUCGGUUAACCGCUGGUUUGACUGGUUUGACCGGUUUGGUUUCGGUUAGGGUAAACCGGUCGGUUAGGACAAAUUGAUUUCUGGUCAAGGGUUGACCGGAUUGACCUUUGACCAUCGAAUUGACUUUUCCAUAAACCUUGACCAGACCCGUUUUAAACCGUUCGAAAGGUGUUCUGACUCGAUUUUUCGCCCUGAUUUCAGAUUUGGAGUCUAUUUGAGCAUCUGGAGUUCAUAGAUACCACAUUUCCCUAUUGCUAAGGUGAGGGCUACUCCGUUAAAUCCCGAGCUAGUUUAGUACUACCAUUAUGGAAAGUUUAGUUUCGAAACAUGAUCCGUCUCUGUGAAUCGAGUCUGUUUGAGAGUCUUGCUUGUUCAUUAUUGAUAUUGAUUGUUAACCGGAAUUAGGAUAAUAGAGGAUUCAACGAUUGUGUGAAAUGAUUGAUGCUAAGAACUGCUAUAUAUAUGUAUAUACAUAGUUAUGAGUAGGGAUUAUGUGAUGAGGGCGUGAGUUCAGAGAUGUCUGAGCUUCGACGCUACGGUAUGGUAUGGGCGUGAGUUCAGAGACGUUUGAGCUUCGACGCUACUGUUUGGGGCGUGGUGCAGAGACGUUUGCAUUUGACGCUACGAUGGGCGGGGGUACAGAGACAGACUGUACUAGCGACGCUUCGAGUAUAUGUAUAUAUCCUUAUGAGGAGAUGCGUGGUGCAUAGAGUAGCUAUGUACUAUAAGCGCAUGAGUUGUAACGGCUAGUCCUCUAGCCGCAUAUUGAUUGUUCUGUGGGGUGUAAUAGGCACCGUGUUUGUUUCAUGCUAGAGCUAUGCCUACAUUUUAGUAGUGCUAUGAACUCAGUCUGUGGUUUGCGGUUUAGCAUCCCAUACCUCGCUGGGCAACUCCCCUGUUGCUCACCCCUCCUUCUUUUCCCCUUUCAGGUGAGACCGACGAGCAGGAGUGAUUAUCGGACCGGUGCUAUUGGGCUUUUGGGCUUCUAUCGCUUUUAUCGUUAUCGGGCUUUUAGGCCUUUGGCUUUUAUCGUUUAUGUUAUUUCCUAUUUCAGACUUAUACCGUUAUCUAUAUUUCGGAUGUUAUUUUAUAUUAUGGAUUUCCAGCGUGGACGUUGACUUUUAUAUUUAUAAAUAGAGAUUUCAGAAACUAUUAUUUAUCGCAUCAUUUUUAUUAUUAUUUCGAAAGUGACGGGUGUCACAGUUUUGGUAUCAGAGCGGGGUUCCGUCCCGGCUCCGACCCGGGAUGGCGAUUUUGGAGACCUGGUUUUAUUCGGUUUUAUUCGAUUUUAACAGUUUUAGACGAUUUCAAAAUAUUUUUGGGGAUUUGGGAAUUUUGAAAAUGAAAAUAAAUAGCACCUUUCCGUUCGAUAUCACUUCUCCUUAAAUGUUGGUAUCAAAAGUUGAGCGUAAGUUAACAUUUCGCUUUCCUUUCAGAUGCCGCCAAGGAGAAGAACCACCCGUGCCCAGACCACCAGAGCUGUUAGAGACGAUGUAGAUGAGCAUGAGCAGCCCGCAGUUCCGCCACCCGCGGCUCCACCAGUUGAUCAGGAUGCAUUGAGACAGAUGGUUCAGGAUGCCGCUAGACAGGCCGCUCAGGAGGCACUUCAGCAGAUUGCCCAGGAGGCAGCCAGGCAGGCCGCUCAGGAGGCUGCCCGAGUAGCUGCUCAGGAGGUUGCUCGUCAGAUGGCUGCAGUUCAGGCUCCUCAGGUUCAGGUGCAGCAGGGUCCACAGAUUCAGGUUCAGCAAGUUCCACCGGUUCAGGUCCAGCAGGAUCAGCAGAUUCCCGCUCAGCAUGAUCAUCAGGAUCCCGUUCAGCAGGUUCCCCUUCCUCAGGUUCCACUGCAGCACGGACCAGCUCAGCAGUUUGCUCAUGGUGUUCAGGAUCUACCACCACCACCACCGCGACCUCAUGUUUACCCGGUUUAUGAUGAGAGGUUCUACAGGCUGACGCGUCAGAUGAGGAACAUGGAUAUGGAGCAUUUUAGUGGGACAGUGGAUGCUGUAGCUGCACAUGAUUGGAAGUUAGCCUUGCAGCGGAAGCUGGAGAUUAUUGAAUGUCCACCAGAGUUGUCGCUCAGAUUGACUAUGCAGUACCUUCGUGGAGAUGCUCUUAUAUGGUGGGAGGGAAUACGAUUGAGUCACCUUGGGCCAGAGAGGCUUACCUUCGCAGACUUCAUCCGAGAGUUCGAUAGGAAAUACUUUCCGAAGGAAGCUAUGGAUAGGAAGAAAUGCGAGUUCGAGCAUGUAAGCCAGGGUGAGAUGUCUAUCAGGGAGUAUGAGGUUGUGUUUAAUCAACUUCGCAGAUUUGCUGGAGAGGGCAUUUUAGAGGAAGACCUGAUGAGGAAAUUUUUGAAUGGGAUGCGAGUGGAGAUUCGCAACAGGUGCCGUGUCGUCACUUAUCACAGAUUGGGAGAUUUGGUGGAGAAGGCUGCCGAGCAGGAGGCAGGUUUGGCAGAGGAGCAGAAGUACUCCAAGGCAGUUCAGCCUAAGUUUGGAGGGACUUCAGAGGCACAGCAGAGGACAUGGGACAAACCGAGCAUACAGUGCUUUUACUGUGGAAAGAUGGGACAUAAGAGUAGGGUUUGUCGGAGUAGGCUAUUUGAUGCUCAGGUUGCGCCACCAGUCAGACAGAUUGCAGCACCAGCAGCACCAGCAGCGGCACAUGUCUGCUUUGGCUGUGGUCAUCCAGGUCACUUCAUCAGAGAUUGCCCGAGGAGGGGCAAUGCGGCACUUCCACCACCACCGAAGCGUCUAGCCAUCGCUCCACGUGCGUUUGCGGUUGGAGAUCCCCAUGGAGCUGAGCCGAUAGCGGGUAUGUGUUCUUAACAUACUUGCUUGUGUUAAUAUUUGUGGUUUUGUGGUUAUCUUGUAUAGUUCGAGAUUAGUGAAUCUCGUGUAUGAUUGGUUGUGGUUGGUGUGAGUUACCUCACACCUUAUUUGACUUAAGAGCUUUUUAUAGUUUUGUGAGUUCGCGUUUGGUUAAGUUUUAGUUUUUUUUUGGGGGAUCUUCUAACCGAAAUAUAAGCAGAUUCAGAUUGUUGUUAUGGAGAGCUUGGGAACGAUCAAGAUUCAUCGCGAUAUACCUGUUAUCAUUUGAGUAUUAUGAUGGUAUCGUCGAGGUUUUUAUGGUGGGUCUAGUCGUACACCACUUUGUUGGACCAAAGUGGGGGAGAGACGUGAGAUGGAAUCAGCAAUGAUUCAAGAGACGGUAGAGCAAAUGGAAAUGCUCGAAGCUUAGGUUAGGAAGCCCAUGACCGUCAGAAGAGUUACGUGGAUAAGCGCCGUAAGGAUUUGGAUUUUGAAGUUGGCGACCUAAUAAAUCUGAAGGAGGAUGUUUCAAGAAGAAUCAAAGACUCGGAAUCUAAAGAAGCUUAACCAAAAUAUAUGGGAACAUAUCUCUUUAUUGGUCAGCAAGUGAAAUCAGUCUAGGGAGUGGUGACCAUGUAUCUAGUGACCAUGUUGGUCAAGGUUCGUUGGGAGGAAUAGGAUUCAAGAGGAGACCUGAGCCGAGCAAGGAUUAUUAUUCGAGGUUUUGUUACGAUGACAUUGGACAUGUCAGAUUAUAACUUGAAUUCGGGGACGAAUUCCUUAUAAGUGGGGGAGAAUUGUAACGAUCCGAAUUUCGAUCUCGGAACUCGUUAGCCGGCUAAGACCCAAGCAAUACAUCAAGACUAAAAUGUUUGUUUAUAAAUACCUCAUUUUUCACAUUGUUUUCUCCACCUGCAUCAAAAAGAAAUCAGAAAAGUUAGAGAGAAGAAGAAGUGAAAAAGAGAGAGAGUGAGAGAAAAAAAAGAUAGGAACCACUGCAUGCUGCCACCAGGAGUCCUCGCCGGAGCCACCGCACGCCAGGACAUCGUCAAGCUCGUCAUCACCAUCAACCUCAGCUGAGAAUCGUCGGAAACCGCCGCCUCUUAAGCUUUGUUUUCGUCCGUUCAGUAUAUCGGCCAUAUCUUCUUAACCGUUGAGAAUCUCGCGCAUGCAGAGCCACCAUCGUGUUCCUCUCGUCGAGACGAAGCCGUAGCCACCGA